AGACCACAAGGGCACGCAAGUGUUUCUACGACUUUCUGAUCUUCUGAUCAGACGAUAACAACUUUAUAAUUAUUUUUUUUAUUAUUAGUAUUAGUAGUACUAAUUAAGUUUUAAUGUAUUGGUUUAGUUUCAUAAUUGUGCUUUUACAGGCUGUAAUCUCUAUAUUUUAUUCCAAAUGGCCACAACGUUGAAAAAAAAAAAAGUACUCCUUUCCUUUUUUUUUCUAUUAAUAAUUUUGUUGGAAUUUGGAGUUUACUGUAUUUUUCAUUUUUUUUUAAUAUAGUAUAUUGGAGUGUGAAAAUGACUUAAUGGGGCAGCUCAAUAUAAUAUAUCUCUUGUCAAUUCUUAAUUUACUUUGAAUAUCCCCCACUAUUUUUUGGAGGAUAUUCUUUAAUUUGUCUUUUAUUCUAAGUGUUCAAAAUUAGUGACGUAAUACAAUUUAGUUGGCUUAAAAUUCCCCUCAAUUAUUUUCAACUUUAAAAAUUAAUAUUUUUUAUUAUUUACAACUUAUUUUCAUGGAAUCAAUCAUUAUUAGAAUGUAGCAGUUCACUAAUUUGAUUAUUAGCUAACAUAUUAUCAAAAGAUCUUGUAAUUAGGAAGUAAUUAUACUCUCCUAAAACACAUGGUAAACAAUUGAGUAAAGAAUUUAGUACUCUCUGAACUAGGACCAAAUUUGCUAGGACUAAAUUUUAGCGUAUUUUUAUCUUUCUUUUUAGCUUAUGUGAUAACUUUUGUCUAAUCUUUUUAGCUGACGUGACACCUUUGACGUGUAUCCUAUUUUAUGUAAUAAAGGUAUCGCGUCAGCACAAAAUGGUGACAAAAAUACGCUAAAUUUGAGUUUGGGGUAGUAAAAUUCCUAUGAAAUUAGAGUGUGUCGUAGCAGCUUUAUUAGCCAUUAUUUGGGGUACCGGAUGCUUAUCUCUAAACAGUUACACAUAACUCAAAUUCAGAUUUCUCAAUACUGGGGAAAUUUAUAGGGGAAAUUUACUCUUAGUCUGAGUAAUAGAUGGAUGCUUCAAAUCCUAAUAGAUAUCAAAGUAGAUCUUGAUAGACAUUCACUAUAAUGUAAAUACAUUUAUAACAAAUUUAUAGUACUUUUCAUGUAGUUUUUGAAUAUCUAUAUUUUAUUUUUUUAAAAAAAUUAAAUUAAUCUAAUCUAAGUUUGAAACUUAAGUCAAAUUAACUCACGGAGAGCAAAUGUAUAUAGUGAGCCAUGAAUCUAGUGAUUAUAAAUAUGGAUAUUUGGUUUUUCGAUUCAAAAUCAAAAAUAAUAUUGUUAAGAGUUUGUGACCCGAAUUUUGUUGAUCCGGCCUUGAAAAGUUUGCGGUGCAAUCCAUGUUUGUGAUUUUUAGUGGGGUCUGUGGUAUGGAUCUGUAUGUUUUCGAGCUUAGGCUUUAUUUGUACGCAUGUAUUAUAAGUACGUUUAGUGGGUUGUUUUUGGUGGUUCACAUACGUCAUUGAGACUUUCGUCUCCUCCUUGUAC
This 1483-nucleotide long non-coding RNA is filed under the name Capsicum annuum. Its description in RNAcentral is "long non-coding RNA (CANN_LNC008646)". Lineage: Eukaryota; Viridiplantae; Streptophyta; Magnoliopsida; Solanales; Solanaceae. The record is from RNAcentral.